Long non-coding RNA from Cyprinus carpio carpio, 1419 nucleotides. NCBI's taxonomy places the organism in Eukaryota, Metazoa, Chordata, Actinopteri, Cypriniformes, Cyprinidae. The record is from Ensembl.
GAGCCUGAGCUCCGCCCAAAAAUCAGGCUUCCACAGCGUUACGCAGCCGCAGAUGUGAAUGAUGUUCACGGAUGUAGUUUCUUCAGGCAUCGGAGCAAACGGCUGAAACACCACAGAAGAUGAAAUGAAUGAUCGUCCAAGGCAAAAUGUGCUUGAACUGGGACAAAGAAUCAUCCCGUGGAGAAGACCCACAAAGAUGUGCAGCCGGGUCGGUGCUUUCCUUUCCGCCGGAAAGGUUGGAGUGGUGGCUAUCUCCCUCUGCCUUCAAAAAAAGUUUCACUCAGUAGCUAUCUUUUAUGGAGAGAGAGAGAGAGAGAAAAAGAACUUAACUAUAUUAGAAACUCACACAUAUUUUUUACGUUUGUUAAAAUUUGCAGAAAGGUUUUUGCGAGCGACCCAAUUAAAGCAACAAUCAUAAUGACAGACUCACUAUUUAAAUAAGAUUUGAUUUGUUUUAUUCAACAAAGUUGUUAAGCCUUUACAAUGAGGUCAUACAGUAUUUCUGCCCAAAUCCACAUAAAGAUACAGAAAAUGACAUAAAGAGUGGAAAACAGCACACAGAGUAAAUAGAAAUAGAUGUUAAAAAUGUAGAAAGAGAUUGAAGAUUACAUGUCCAGAGGUUAAAAUUACAAUUACAUUACAGCAUUGCCAUAAAAUAAUUGCUUUGUUCCGAAAAAUGUGUGUUGGGUGAUCCUCAGAAAAAGUCCAUCUGGAGAACUGGGAAAGGCAUCUCAGUGUUUGGAGAAUAGUCGAUCGGUAAGCGGUUGAAAUAUGCGCCAUCAGCAUGUCCGAAGUGUCUCGAGUCCGCAGAGUGUCGUUGGCUCGGUGUUUCUUCAAUAUCGGAGCUGUAGCAUUGUCGGUCGAAGUCUGGUAGCGAAGUCGUUGUUCCUCAAAUGAAUCUGCGUAUAAUGCGCUCCAGCAGGAACUGCCAAACAAGUUGUAACAUCUGCUGCCAGCAGGUUGCAUUCUGCGCUGUCGUAGUCGGCGAGCCUGAGCUCCGCCCAAAAUCAGGCUUCCACAGCGUUACGCAGCCGCAUAUGUUAAUGAUGUUCACGGAUGUAGUUUCUUCAGGCAUCGGAGCAAACGGCUGAAACACCACAGAAGAUGAAAUGAAUGAUCGUCCAAGGCAAAAUGUGUGAGCUCUGCAAGCUUUCCAUUCAAUUUAUAGGCUAUGACAGGUUACACAUUCCCAUGAAAUUGUCUUUCAGUUAGACACUGCUGCGCUCAUGGGUAGCCAAACACACCUAAUGUAGGAUGAAACAGCGCGGUAUUAAAGUGUUCGCGCAGCGCUGAACGGUCAUAGGUGCGGCUCAAGGAACCGAGCUGCGCGACCGACUCCACGGCGCGGAGAGGACGUGUUUAACAGCGCCACCGAACUGACAGCGCCGCGCGAACAUACUCUUCUUCUAAUAACGUUUU